UUACGGCUGGUUAGCCCCCGGCUGCCUGGUUACUGCCGCUGUGCUGCUGCUGCUGCUUCGCUGCCGCUUUACUGCUGUUAUUGAACGCCUCCGCUGCUUCCGCUGUUUGCCGGCCUGCUUCGGGGUGCGGUUGGCUGCCUCACGCCGACUCCCCUUUGUUGACUUUGUCCCCCCAGCAGCCGUGCGAGGUGCGGAGCGAGUGCGUUACCCGGGUGGACGCGACUGCGAGUCCCCGGUUCGGACUGUGUGUGAGGAUGUGUGUUUGACAUUUUAAAGGCACUCUGUGAAGGUCGCUCAUUCAUUUCGUUUUG
This 311-nucleotide long non-coding RNA is filed under the name Xyrichtys novacula (pearly razorfish). Lineage: Eukaryota; Metazoa; Chordata; Actinopteri; Labriformes; Labridae. The record is from RNAcentral.